GGGAGUCACGCACAUGGCCAAGUCCCUGGGGAUGCGCUGCCUCGGUCUCGGGUUGUAAUACGGCCCUGGGGUUUGGCAGAAGGAGCAACAGGCAGGAGAUAAACACGCUCCAUGAUGUUAAGAUCAGGGCUCUGUGGGGGCCAGACCAUCACUUCCAGUUCAAGACCCAAAACCAUACCUAAAAAUAAACUAAGAAGAAAGGCUGAAUGAGUCUCUGAUUCUGUGAAAGUGCACAGAAAGAACAGCUCAAAGACAUCUGGCGUUACACGAAUGUGGUGCACAGGACAAAGAGAGUUUGUUUGUUUAUUUGUUUUUGUAAAGCUGCAGAAAACGACAGAAAGAAGCAAAAAGAGACAAAGACGACAGCAACAAAGCAACCAAACUCAAGAGGGCAGCUAUUUUAGGAUAUAUCCAUCAAAAAAUAUGCUGACUUGAGCAGAUUGUUGUGGAAAGAGAAUGCAGCUGAGGGAGAUAGGAGAAGCAAUUUGUUUUUAUUGUCAUUUAUUCUUUUUUAACUUUUGCUGAUUUGCUAAUGAGUUUGUCUGUAAAUAAGCAGAGUAGGAUUAUAACCCAGCAAGAAGGAAAUCCUGACAUCAGCACAAGGUCUGACAUUACUGAUGCUGUAUCUGUUUUCACAAACACACACACACACACACACACACACACACACACACACACACACACACACACACAAAAAGGUGAAAACAGACACUGUGAAGCUUUUUCUCAGCAAGCUGUUACCCUAUAGGUUACCCGCCGUCACUUUGCGGAAAACAAAUACGAGCAUCGUAGGCCUCUGAGGAUAGCCACUGAUCACUUGCCAAGCAUCUUUAUUUUAAAACGGUUGAAAGACACUGUUUGGGCACGCCCUUACAUGUGCAACAGACUUGUCAAGUGUUAAGUGUUUUCUGUUUUUCAUUAUAAGGCACUUUCUGUUGACUGAAAUCAGCAGAUUUAAAAAGUCAUUUUCUCUCUCUCUUUAUCUAUGCCGCAAGGGCAUUUGCUAGCACCAAACCAGCCAAGAAAGCUUACGAUGCUUUUCUGGACAAAAAAAUACCUGUCAGUAUGUACACAAAGAGAAGACAUUAUAUAUUAUGGAUGCAUCAGAAAAACUGCAAGGAAAAAAGGGUCUGUGCUGCUAAAGGCCAGGGGAAGCGUGGAAGUGCAUGUCUGAAAGAGGUAAACAGCAACAUAAAGCAACCAUUGCAACCCCACUGAAAGUCUCAGUGAUGUCAAAAUUAAAGUUUUUAAGUUUAAAAGAUUUUUUUAAAUCUCAGAAAAACAUCAGGAUCCAUCUUGUGAUGCACUCUAACAUGAUUCCCAAGGCCUUUGAAAAAAAAAAGAUCCACAGCAUAAUGGACCCUCCACCAUACUUAACAUGAGAAAUGAGGUGCUUUUUCACAUAGUCAUUAUUUCUUUUUCACCAGAGCCAUCUGAAGUACAGUAUUUGCUGACAAAGAGCUCAAACUCAGUAUCACCUGACUAAAGCACACAGUUACAGUUUGAUCCUCAGUAGCAUUUGGUUGCUGGCGUACCUUCCAAACAAAAGGUUUGCUAACAUCUAUAGUUGAGGCUAUUGCUUUAAACUUUACUUAAGAUCUCUAACAAUGGGAUCUGGAGAUCCCCCCUCUCCAUCCUCCUCGUUGUGCAUGGUGGCAAGAUAAAAAUGGGACCUUGUCCAGCACAGUGGCCUAAGGCUUAAGCAAAUGGGUCUCUGUGCCACAUCAGUGGGGAAAAGAGACAUAAGGAAUUAUUAAAAAUACAAACAAAAAAAAGCUUACAUUUAGUCAGACAGUCAUUUUCUACCACUUAUUCCAUAGUGGGUCACAGGGGAGCUGG
Long non-coding RNA from Girardinichthys multiradiatus, 1839 nucleotides. RefSeq lists it as uncharacterized. The record is from RefSeq and is a predicted model, not a curated record. Lineage: Eukaryota; Metazoa; Chordata; Actinopteri; Cyprinodontiformes; Goodeidae. The transcript is spliced from 3 exons.